RNAcentral lists this unclassified non-coding RNA (520 nucleotides) under uncultured Glomus. RNAcentral describes it as "SSU rRNA". It matches the Rfam family "Eukaryotic small subunit ribosomal RNA", at positions 569 to 1091 of the family's 1831-position model. Lineage: Eukaryota; Fungi; Glomeromycota; Glomeromycetes; Glomerales; Glomeraceae. The record is from RNAcentral.
AGCAGCCGCGGUAAUUCCAGCUCCAAUAGCGUAUAUUAAAGUUGCUGCAGUUAAAAAGCUCGUAGUUGAAUUUCGGGACCAUCAUGUCGGUCGUGCCUAGGUACGUACUGGCAUUGUUGGUUUCUACCUUCUGACGAACCAUGAUGUCAUUUAUUUGGUGUCGUGGGAAACCAGGACUGUUACUUUGAAAAAAUUAGAGUGUUUAAAGCAGGCUCACGCUUGAAUACAUUAGCAUGGAAUAAUGAAAUAGGACGUUUGAUUCUAUUUUGUUGGUUUCUAGGAUCGACGUAAUGAUUAAUAGGGAUAGUUGGGGGCAUUAGUAUUCAAUUGUCAGAGGUGAAAUUCUUGGAUUUAUUGAAGACUAACUACUGCGAAAGCAUUUGCCAAGGAUGUUUUCAUUAAUCAAGAACGAAAGUUAGGGGAUCGAAGACGAUCAGAUACCGUCGUAGUCUUAACCAUAAACUAUGCCGACUAGGGAUCGGAUGAUGUUAAUUUUUUAAUGACUCAUUCGGCGCCUUAC